CCAAAAGCUCCACCAGACUGCCAAAAGAAGUCCAUUACUAGAGCUAGAAGGCUCUAGUCUAAAGCAUCCUCUGAAUUGCACUGAAAAUCCCGGCAGGGGUACCACACCAUCCGGAGUAGAUUAGUCAAAGAGACAGUAGGGAAGAGAAGGAGUGUGACCUCUGAUCAUUCCUUCUCCCCACCCCUAUGGGGCCAGGAUGUGGGUGUGGAAAAGAAAAUGAAAGAGAAAGAAGAUUUUUUUUUUUUUUUCUGCAAGCACCCUUCACUGAAGACUCCAGGGACUGCCUACCAGCUUCUCCAGCCUAGGUGUCACAACGGUACUUCUGGGAGUUUAAGAGGCACAAGCUCAUAGGAUCCUGGAAGGGACCUCUGAGCUCAUCUGUAGUCCAACCUUUUCGUUUUCCAUUGGGAGAGACUGAGGCCCAGAGAGCCCUGCUUAAGGCCAUAAGGAUAGGAUUUUAGCUCGGGGCCUCCGGCUGCCCAUCAUUCACCGCAGGUCUCACCGGACCCCGCAGUGCCUCUCCAUCCCCAUCGCCGCUCCUGGCAGUGCCAGGGAUCCUUCCUUCCACGUCCCGAGCUCUUACCCUUCUCCUUGGUGAAGAUGGAGAUGAGCGGCACCCGUGGCCGGUCGCUGAAGACCUCGGCUUGCUGCACCAGAGCCUCGCGCACGCUGUGGAAGUCACAGAGGACCACCACCAGGUAGGUUUGAAAGGAAAACCUUUCCCCCCAAGAUUUGGAGCCACGGGCAUUUCAAGAAAGUCACACCUAAAGGGCAGAGCUGGGAAAGAGUGGCAUUACCCAUAUGAAGUUUCUAAUACAGUUCUCUGUUCACAAGAUCAUCAAUUUGGAACUGGAAGGAUCUUGGGGGUCAUCGAGCAACUUGACCAGGAUCACACAAGUAUCUUAAGCAGUAUUUGAACCCAGGUCUUCUGGGCUCCAUGGUUAGCCCUCCAUCCACUACACUACAACCGUCAACCAACAAAGUUGGUAUUCACAAAUUUGAUUGACUUGGUUUAAUAAUUCAGUGUCAACCCUUUCCCCUCCCUGCCUCCAAACUGUGAUUAAAAAAAUAUUAAAUAGUAAUUGAAAGUGAAGAUUCUCAUGUUCUAAUGCUGAAAAGGACCAGAGAAAGCUCAGAUAAUAAUGUAGCUGGAGCAAUCAAAGCUUUAAGGAGAAAGUGGAACUUGAACUAGACCUUAAAGAACCAUCAGAAUUAUGGACAGGGCAUUUCAAACGAGGGAGAAACAUCUUGAUAAAAAGACAAGGGGGUAGGAAUGAAGUUAGCGUCUAUAAUGUACAGUGGGACUCCCUAGGCGGGGUAGGAUUGGAGAUGGAGAUAAAGGAUUGGAGGUGGAAAAUAACAAGAUAAAAUUGGUUAGAAAGGAUGAGCUCAGAUUCCAAAGAGCUUUGAAAAUCAGCCGGGAACUUGGGUUGCUACAAUAACCCUCUAAAGUAGGUAAAUGUAGCACAGUGUAGAAAGUCAUCUUCUUACAAUGAUCCUGUAAAGCGGGUUGUAUAAAUAUUACUAUUCCCAUUUUAUAGAUAAAGGAAACAGAGAGAGAGGUUAAGUGAACUUUCAUAGGGUCACACAAUAAAUGUUAAUAGGAAGAGUUGAGACAUGAACCUAAGUUUCCUGACUGUAAAACUAACUGGACUAUACUCAACUGCCCUAAAACUCUGAACUGGAAGAUAGCCUGUUACUGGUCUAGCAUAAAAUAUACUGCUCUUUAGGAUAACUGGGUGGUUUGGUAAUGAAAGGGACAGAAAAAAAGUGUUUUUGUCUAAUAGAUUUAUAUUGACUGUCAAAUGAUAUGGAAUACUGCCACUAUUGUGGAUGAACAUUUUGAUAUCCCAUGUGAGAAAAAUAAUUUUGUUUUACUAUACAUUGCUAAUAUAUGUGUACAAAGAAACAUUGUUUUCAGACAGGAUCUGAAAAGCUUUGUAGAGAAAAUAAUCUGUAGUGUAAUUGUGAGGACUUAGAUCUCCUUAUUAACACUUUUGGAGCAAUGCCUUGCUUGUGUGGGAACAGCUUAGCGUUAUAAAGAGAUAUAUAAAUCUUUUAUUGAUUAAAAACUAGAAAAAUGUGAGUAUAAAGAAACACAGUUUCAAGGGCACCAAAGA
Vombatus ursinus (common wombat) is the source of this 2120-nucleotide long non-coding RNA. RefSeq lists it as uncharacterized. Lineage: Eukaryota; Metazoa; Chordata; Mammalia; Diprotodontia; Vombatidae. The transcript is spliced from 3 exons. The record is from RefSeq and is a predicted model, not a curated record.